This 1360-nucleotide ribosomal RNA is filed under the name uncultured bacterium. RNAcentral's name for it is "16S ribosomal RNA". It matches the Rfam family "Bacterial small subunit ribosomal RNA". The record is from RNAcentral.
AGAGUUUGAUCCUGGCUCAGGAUGAACGCUGGCGGCGUGCCUAACACAUGCAAGUCGAGCGAUCUUCUUCGGAAGAGAGCGGCGGACGGGUGAGUAGCGCGUGGGUAACCUGCCUCAUACACAUGGAUAACAUACCGAAAGGUAUGCUAAUACAAGAUGAUAUAAGAGAUUCGCAUGGAUUUCUUAUCAAAGCUCCGGCGGUAUGAGAUGGACCCGCGUCUGAUUAGCUAGUUGGUAAGGUAAUGGCUUACCAAGGCGACGAUCAGUAGCCGACCUGAGAGGGUGAUCGGCCACAUUGGAACUGAGACACGGUCCAAACUCCUACGGGAGGCAGCAGUGGGGAAUAUUGCACAAUGGGCGAAAGCCUGAUGCAGCAACGCCGCGUGAGCGAUGAAGGCCUUCGGGUCGUAAAGCUCUGUCCUCAAGGAAGAUAAUGACGGUACUUGAGGAGGAAGCCCCGGCUAACUACGUGCCAGCAGCCGCGGUAAUACGUAGGUUGCGAGCGUUGUCCGGAUUUACUGGGUGUAAAGGGCGUGUAGGCGGAGAUGCAAGUUGGGAGUGAAAUCCAUGGGCUCAACCCAUGAACUGCUUCCAAAACUGUAUCCCUUGAGUAUCGGAGAGGCAAGCGGAAUUCCUAGUAUAGCGGUGAAAUGCGUAGAUAUUAGGAGGAACACCAGUGGCGAAGGCGGCUUGCUGGACGACAACUGACGCUGAGGCGCGAAAGCGUGGGGAGCAAACAGGAUUAGAUACCCUGGUAGUCCACGCUGUAAACGAUGAAUACUAGGUGUGGGAGGACUGACCCCUUCCGUGCCGCAGUUAACACAAUAAGUAUUCCACCUGGGGAGUACGACCGCAAGGUUGAAACUCAAAGGAAUUGACGGGGGCCCGCACAAGCAGUGGAUUAUGUGGUUUAAUUCGACGCAACGCGAAGAACCUUACCAGGACUUGACAUCCAACUAACGAAGUAGAGAUACAUUAGGUGCCCUUCGGGGAAAGUUGAGACAGGUGGUGCAUGGUUGUCGUCAGCUCGUGUCGUGAGAUGUUGGGUUAAGUCCCGCAACGAGCGCAACCCCUAUUGUUAGUUGCUACGAAAGAGCACUCUAGCGAGACUGCCGUUGACAAAACGGAGGAAGGCGGGGACGACGUCAAAUCAUCAUGCCCCUUAUGUCCUGGGCUACACACGUAAUACAAUGGUGGAAAACAGAGGGAAGCAAAGCCGCGAGGCAGAGCAAAACCCUAAAAGCCAUCUCAGUUCGGAUUGCAGGCUGCAACUCGCCUGCAUGAAGCUGGAAUUGCUAGUAAUCGCGGAUCAGAAUGCCGCGGUGAAUACGUUCCCGGGCCUUGCACACACCGCCCGUCA